Lonchura striata (white-rumped munia) is the source of this 165-nucleotide non-coding RNA. NCBI's taxonomy places the organism in Eukaryota, Metazoa, Chordata, Aves, Passeriformes, Estrildidae. The record is from RefSeq and is a predicted model, not a curated record.
CAGGAGCAGCUGAGACCCAGGAGGAAAGCAAUCAUAUGGCCAAAUGCAGGAUGGCUGGUGGGAGUGAAAACAAGUGAAAUGGAAAUUCCCAGAGCUGCAGAGAAAACAGAACUCAAACAGAACUUCCCUGAAGCAAGCAUGAGGAGCUCUGAUAGCAGUGAGGAG